This 219-nucleotide long non-coding RNA is filed under the name Elaeis guineensis (African oil palm). RNAcentral describes it as "long non-coding RNA (EGUI_LNC053708)". The record is from RNAcentral. Lineage: Eukaryota; Viridiplantae; Streptophyta; Magnoliopsida; Arecales; Arecaceae.
CAUCAAAUGCCAAUAGAGUGAUUAUACCUUUCUGAUGCAACUAAACCACUAUAAUCAGUCGAGAACGAUCAAUGCCAGGAAGGCACCCGCAUCUCUACAAUGAUGGAAGACCUCUAGACUUAAUAUUUAGUGAAAAAAUUUAGGUUUAGCUCUCUUCUAAAUCAAUAGAUAUAACAUCUAACUGAUCAAAUUUAGAUCAGCACAUCCACAUGUCUAACC